UAAAAUAACUGAAACUUAUUUUCUCAUAGAAUUAUAGUGAGAGAUUGAAUUGAAGACCUGGGUUAAGAGCUCAAAUAUAUACUAAUUCAACAUUCUAUUCUAUAAUUAAAAUGAUUAGAAUGUAUGAAGUAUUUAAUGAAAAUUGAAGGAAUUACAAACUAAUGAGAAUGAGUUUGUUUAAAAACUGAAAUGAGAAGAAAGAAUGAACAGUAGUACUGACCAAGGAUGAAAGGCAGUGUUCGAAUUCCUCCUCGUCGCUGAGAUUUCACCUUCUUCUUGUUCUGUAGCUCUUCACUACCAAUACUCUUCCCUAUCUCCAUAUGUUAUAUGUUAUGUAUCUCUGCAUAUACUAUCCAUUUUUCAUUUUUGAACUUACCUAUAUAUACACAUUAAUCAUGGCAUAAUAUUAAUACUAAUACUUGUAACUUGUAAUAAUUAAAUCAUUACAGAUCAUGGCUUCGCGACGUAAAGCUGAUUUAAAUAUAUGCUUUCAAUCUACGUCUACAUAUUUUUUUUGGUCUUUCUAAUAACAUUACUAGAUAACCAACCCAAAAUUCAAAUGUUGGCACUAGAACAUGAUGCUAGAAUCUCCUCAAUCAAAAUCCAUGAAGCUAAUACAGAUUACAUCAUAGAAAUAGCUGUUAAAUACCAUAGGAGGAAAAAAAUACAUUCACAGAAGCAAC
This 683-nucleotide long non-coding RNA is filed under the name Lathyrus oleraceus (garden pea). RNAcentral describes it as "Pisum sativum (pea) long non-coding RNA (PSAT_LNC009861)". The record is from RNAcentral. Lineage: Eukaryota; Viridiplantae; Streptophyta; Magnoliopsida; Fabales; Fabaceae.